RNAcentral lists this ribosomal RNA (642 nucleotides) under Triticum aestivum (bread wheat). RNAcentral describes it as "partial small subunit ribosomal RNA". The record is from RNAcentral. Lineage: Eukaryota; Viridiplantae; Streptophyta; Magnoliopsida; Poales; Poaceae.
AUGGAGCAGUUCCACCACGGCCACCACGUGCGGCUGCGGAGCCGCGAGCUCGGCACGUACCUGCACGCCGACGAAGACGGACAAGGCGUCUCCCUCCACCACCGCCGGGCGUCGAUGAACGCGGCUUGGGCAGUGCACUUGUACCAGCCCCCCCACGCGCGGGUGCCGUUCCUGCUCCUCCACAGCGCCGCCUACGGCCGGUACCUCGCCGCCACGGGCGCGCCGGCACCGCUAGGCCACCGUGGGCACCGCGUCGAGCAGCGCAGCUACAACCAUCCUGAGGCGGAAGCAGUAUUUUGGCUGGCCGUCCGGACGGAAUUCGAGGACGACGUCCUGCUCCAACACUUCAACGGCGGCAGCCUCCGCGCCAACGGGAAGUACCUCCCCUGGAACAACGGCGCCAGCGUCGGCUACAUCAACGGCAUCUACGACAUGAGCACGAUGAUGCACUGGGUCGUGGACUCGUGGAGCCCAUCCCCGCCAGGGAGACCAUGCCUCCCCUUCCACGUUCGACUAGGCUUACCCUCCCCACCGCCACCAUGUUGCUGUCGCGGGAGAUCGUAUACAUGUGGCGGGACAUCCACGGGGACCCCAUCACCGGCGGCUGGCACAUGUUCAGGGGGAGAUCCGUCUUCCGCCUGA